GGUACCAGACCUGGAUGGCUCUUGUCCACAUUAUGCAUGAGGAUUCCCCAUUUACCACUGCAAGUUGGACUUCUUUCCACUUUUUAAGAUGGAGCUAUUUGCGCUUCUAUUCUGUAUCCCCAGCUCGUCUUUAGAUGCUGCUGACAUCUGAAGGAGAGUGGUGUUCUCAGUAAUAGUCUGGAAAAUGUCAACAUUUGUAGAACUAGAUUGGAGUCCUUUCUAGAUGGUGAUGAAUGGAAAAGAGCUAUUAAAGAAAUUACUUUGCUUUUAGUAAAUGGGCAUAACAAAUUAAUCCUUGUUCAUAAUCCCUGGCUCGCUCUUCAGGAAGAUGCCUGUGCUGUUACCAAGCAAGCAGGAAUUCUAUCCGUGCUCUUUGAAUGCGCCCGACUCUGGGUAUAAUUGAUUCCCUUCUGUUCCUUCCUAGCAAUCCUACAGAGACUGUACGGUUACGUACUCUCUCAACAGUUUGAAAGGAUAGGAUUUCCCUUAGGAGGGAUCAGAUGAUUAGCUUAUAAAUAGUAAAUGCCUGUUCAGGCCUACUUUAGAGUGCAUGUUAUUUGGUUUCUGUCUUGCUCUCUGCGCUGCUGCUAAGUCUUCACAACAAAUAUAACCUCAUCUGGCACCUCAAGGUGCAGAGCCAAGCCCAAGAAAAAAAGGUGUACUUUUCAUCAGAGAUAAUGAAUUUCAGUGAGCUUCAGAGCCUUUGAGAAAGGAAACAGUCCUGGUGCUAGUUGCUACUGUACUGGGCUAUGAUUAUACCCCAGGGAGGAGUGUGAUUAUUUGCCUGUGCAGGAAAACUAGCUCGACUAACUGGGAGCAUGAGUUCAAAAUGAAACUGAAACACAUUCAGUGGUUGAAUUCCUUUGGAGAUGAGCCUCUUUUCCUGCUAGAAAACCUCCGCCAGUGCCAGGGAAGUCCUUCUCUUUAAACCUAAAAAAUAAGUUCUUGGAGUUCUCUAUGGAGCAACAUUCCCCCCCCCCCCAAAUAAAUAAAUAAAUAAAUAAAU
RNAcentral lists this long non-coding RNA (1006 nucleotides) under Apteryx rowi (Okarito brown kiwi). RNAcentral's name for it is "lncRNA (ENSARWG00000006237.1)". Lineage: Eukaryota; Metazoa; Chordata; Aves; Apterygiformes; Apterygidae. The record is from RNAcentral.